AGAGUUUGAUCCUGGCUCAGGAUGAACGCUGGCGGCGUGCUUAACACAUGCAAGUCGAACGAAGCAUUUAAGGACGAUUCUUCGGAUGAGGACUUUUAUGACUGAGUGGCGGACGGGUGAGUAACGCGUGGGUAACCUGCCCUAUACAGGGGGAUAACAGUUAGAAAUGACUGCUAAUACCGCAUAAGCGCACUAGAACCGCAUGGUUCGGUGUGAAAAACUGAGGUGGUAUAGGAUGGACCCGCGUCUGAUUAGCUUGUUGGUGGGGUAACGGCUCACCAAGGCGACGAUCAGUAGCCGGCCUGAGAGGGCGACCCCCCACAUUGGUACUGAGACACGGACCAAACUCCUACGGGAGGCAGCAGUGAGGAAUAUUGGUCAAUGGACGCAAGUCUGAACCAGCCAUGCCGCGUGCAGGAAGACGGCUCUAUGAGUUGUAAACUGCUUUUGUACGAGGGUAAACGCAGAUACGUGUAUCUGUCUGAAAGUAUCGUACGAAUAAGGAUCGGCUAACUCCGUGCCAGCAGCCGCGGUAAUACGGAGGAUUCAAGCGUUAUCCGGAUUUAUUGGGUUUAAAGGGUGCGUAGGCGGUUGGAUAAGUUAGAGGUGAAAUCCCGGGGCUCAACUCCGGAAUUGCCUCUGAUACUGUUCGGCUAGAGAUCAGUUGCGGUAGGCGGAAUGUAUGGUGUAGCGGUGAAAUGCUUAGAGAUCAUACAGAACACCGAUUGCGAAGGCAGCUUACCAAGCUGAAUCUGACGUUGAGGCACGAAAGCGUGGGUAGCAAACAGGAUUAGAUACCCUGGUAGUCCACGCAGUAAACGAUGAUAACUCGUUGUCGCGANUCACCGAGGGGAAUGAGAAAGGAGAUAUUUUCCCCCGAGGGGAUCUUUCGAAAAAAAAAAAUAAAAAGAUUGGCGGCGCCCCCCCAAGGGAAGAAUCAGUGUUUUAUGUGUGGUCCCGGAGGCACCUUCCCCGGGCCUAAAAUAUGGAGGUAAUUGAAAGAGUUUCUCCCGUGGGGCACAGAAUAGGGGUGUUGCAGGGGUGUCGCCGGCUCGGCGGGGGGGGGGUUGGUUAUUAGUCCCGACGCGAGCGCCCCCCCUUUUUUUCCAGUGGUAGGGGGUUAAGCUGACCCAUGUGGGGGGACCGCCAGCGAGAAGAGCUGGGGGAAGGGGGGACGAUUUCUAAUUCAUCAGGCCCUUUAUGUCCGGGGCUUACACACGUGCUACAAUGGCAUAAUCAGAGGGAAGCGUCUCCGAGAGGAUAAGCGAAUCUCAGAAAGUAUGUCUCAGUUCAGAUUGCAGUCUGCAACUCGACUGCAUGAAGUCGGAAUCGCUAGUAAUCGCAGAUCAGCAAAGCUGCGGUGAAUACGUUCCCGGGCCUUGCACUCACCGCCCGUCAAG
This 1400-nucleotide ribosomal RNA is filed under the name uncultured bacterium. RNAcentral's name for it is "partial 16S ribosomal RNA". It matches the Rfam family "Bacterial small subunit ribosomal RNA". The record is from RNAcentral.